RNAcentral lists this long non-coding RNA (1067 nucleotides) under Anas platyrhynchos platyrhynchos (common mallard). Its description in RNAcentral is "lncRNA (ENSAPLG00000022335.1)". Lineage: Eukaryota; Metazoa; Chordata; Aves; Anseriformes; Anatidae. The record is from RNAcentral.
AGCACACCUCUGUCAUUGCCAUCGCUACAACUGUAACUUACUCUGUGAUUACCCAUUAUUUUUCUCCACACAAGUUUUACCCACGUAAACUUGCUAUUGAUAUGAAUGCAAAUAAUGUGACACUAUAAUGACAAAUUAGGGAGAUAAAGCUGAAGAAAAUUAGAUGAACAUUAGAUGCCACAUUCUGUAGGAACUGUGUAUUCUUGUGUAUGGCUUUCAAAAUACAUUAAAUAAUACUAAUUUUAGCUUUACAGAACUUGAAUCACUGGAGAGGUUUGCAAACUAAGUAAGUACUUUAGUAUCUUUAAUUUUUCUUAUGGUAUGUAUAACAUAAAUAAGCAAUCUGAAGAUUUUUAGUAACAAAGUAACUAUCAAAAACAUUUGGAGAUGCAAUUUGGGUAAGCUACCCAAAACUCAGAUUCAUGCCUGUAUACUAACUCUAUAUUGUACAAGAUAAUUCAUAUUGGAAUUGAAUUUGUGGUCAUUGCUUUAGCAAUUCUGUUGGCUAGUGAAUUGAUUCUGCUAUUUUUUCAGGUCUUUUUGGCAUGGUGAGAGAAAAUUGGAUAAAGACUGUUCAAGUCAGGAUUGUUUGCAAGCAGGUCACUGGUGGCCCUUUGCAGUCCAUGGACCACAAUGCGUCUCAGUCACUUUUGCCAUCUCUAGUAGGACAACAGAAGACUUCCAACAUGCACUGCAGUGCCUGAAGCCCCUCAAGGCGAGUGCUGUGGCUUUGCCUGCUCCUUUGUUGCUGUUUGGUGAGUUUACCUCUUUCUUUUUUUCCCUUCUUUUCCCUACUCUGACAGAAUAGCCUGCUGGGAAAGGGGACGCCUGGUAUUUAUGGAGCACAGCAAUGCAAACAAACCAGCUCCAAAUGAACCUUGACUAGGAAAAUCUGUGCCACACAGCGUGCGUUAUGUGCAAGUGACUACAAAACGUGGCCAGGCUGGUGAGGAGCUCUAAGGAACAGGGCUAUUCUCAGUCUUUUACCAGUGAUUUACCAGCACCAGCAUCUGUGAGAAAUAGAUUAAAACUAGAUUGCUAAUUAGCUUUAAAAUGUUAAUUUAUUU